GAUGAACGCUAGCGGGAGGCUUAACACAUGCAAGUCGAGGGGCAGCACGAUGUAGCAAUACGUUGGUGGCGACCGGCGCACGGGUGAGUAACACGUAGGCAACCUACCCUUCAGUGGGGGACAACAGAGGGAAACUUCUGCUAAUACCGCAUACGGCCUUGUACUGGGAUGUACGAGGAGAAAGGAUUUAUUCGCUGAGGGAUGGGCCUGCGGCCUAUCAGGUAGUUGGUGGGGUAAAGGCCUACCAAGCCUGCGACGGGUAGCCGGACUGAGAGGUCGACCGGCCACACUGGAACUGAGACACGGUCCAGACUCCUACGGGAGGCAGCAGUGGGGAAUAUUGCACAAUGGGGGAAACCCUGGAUGCAGCGACGCCGCGUGGAGGAUGACGGCCUCGGGU
Molecule: ribosomal RNA, 400 nt
Filed under: uncultured bacterium
Lineage: Bacteria
Description: bacterial SSU rRNA
Rfam family: Bacterial small subunit ribosomal RNA
Source: RNAcentral